CCCUUAGAUGUUCUGGGCUGCACGCGCGCUACACUGACGCACGCAACAGGUGCCUGCUCCGAGAGGACUGGGUAAUCAUUUGAGUGUGCGUCGUGAUGGGGAUAGAAUAUUGUAAUUAUUACUCUUCAACGAGGAAUUCCUAGUAAGCGCCAGUCAGCAGCUUGCGCUGAUUACGUCCCUGCCCUUUGUACACACCGCCCGUCGCUCCUACCGAUGGGUGAUCCGGUGAAUGAUUCGGACUUCAGCGGCUCCCCUGGGGUGCGCCGGAGAAAGUUUUGUGAACCUUAUCACGUGGAGGAAGGAGAAGUCGUAACA
Molecule: ribosomal RNA, 315 nt
Filed under: uncultured eukaryote
Lineage: Eukaryota
Description: partial 18S ribosomal RNA
Rfam family: Eukaryotic small subunit ribosomal RNA
Source: RNAcentral